AACGAACGCUGGCGGCGUACUUAACACAUGCAAGUCGUACGAGAAAUUCCGAUUCGUCGGAAGAGUAAAGUGGCGAACGGGUGAGUAACACGAGGGUAAUCUGCCCUUAAAUCAGGGAUAACCUUGCGAAAGCGAAGCUAAUACCUGAUAAGACUACAAUCUUCUAGGAGAUAGUAGGAAAAAUGGCCUCUGUUUCAUGCUAUUGUUUAAGGAUGAGCCCUCGUACUAUUAGCUAGUUGGUGAGGUAACGGCUCACCAAGGCGACGAUGGUUAGCUGGUCUGAGAGGAUGAUCAGCCACACUGGAACUGAGAUACGGUCCAGACUCCUACGGGAGGCAG
This 339-nucleotide ribosomal RNA is filed under the name uncultured Pseudomonadota bacterium. RNAcentral describes it as "bacterial SSU rRNA". It matches the Rfam family "Bacterial small subunit ribosomal RNA", at positions 29 to 351 of the family's 1533-position model. The record is from RNAcentral. Lineage: Bacteria; Pseudomonadati; Pseudomonadota.